Long non-coding RNA from Quercus lobata, 619 nucleotides. RefSeq lists it as uncharacterized. The transcript has 3 exons. The record is from RefSeq and is a predicted model, not a curated record. NCBI's taxonomy places the organism in Eukaryota, Viridiplantae, Streptophyta, Magnoliopsida, Fagales, Fagaceae.
UUUUACUACUCUCAAUUCUCUCUCUCUCUCAUUUUUACACAGUUACAAAUCCGCCAUUGUUGUAACCUUCUCAAGCUCAAAAUUUCACAAGUUUCACCAUGGAUGAUGAUCGAGUUUUUUGCUGCUCUUGUCACCAGUCGUUUCCAUCUUUUAACAAUGCGAAAGCUUUACGUGUUCAUAACAAAGCUGUGCAUAGACAUUUCCGCUACGAAUGUAGCAUUUGUAAUAAUGUGUUUCUUACUGACGCUAUCCUUCAAAUGCACAAGCAAGAUUCUCACCGACCUCCACCUCCACCUCCACCUCCAGCCCAGCAACAACAAGACCAAGCAGGCCAACCACAAGCUGAUCCAGCCCAAGAUCAACAACAAGUGAACCCAUAAGAAGCAGAAGAAGCAGAAGAAGAAGAAGGUCUAAUAGGUUGAGUUUGUGUUGAAGUUCAAUGAAGUUUGAGUUUGUCAUAGUUAAAUGCGUAAAAAUAAAGAAAGCAGCAUUGGCCGGCUCAAGUGAAGUUUUUCUGGCACGAGUGAAAUUUCUUUUGAGUUUCUAGGUCAUUACUGUUUAGAAUUGAUUAGGAGAAUGUGUUCCUUUAUUUCUGCUUUAUGAAUUGGUGUUUGUAAUG